UACGGAGGAUGGAAGCGUUAUCCGGAAUGAUUGGGCGUAAAGCGUCCGCAGGUGGCUGUGUAAGUCUGCUGUCAAAGAGCGAAGCUCAACUUCGUAAAGGCAGUGGAAACUACACGGCUAGAGUGCGUUCGGGGCUGAGGGAAUUCCUGGUGUAGCGGUGAAAUGCGUAGAGAUCAGGAAGAACACCGGUGGCGAAGGCGCUCUGCUAGGCCGCAACUGACACUGAGGGACGAAAGCUAGGGGAGCGAAUGGG
RNAcentral lists this ribosomal RNA (253 nucleotides) under uncultured bacterium. RNAcentral describes it as "partial 16S ribosomal RNA". It matches the Rfam family "Bacterial small subunit ribosomal RNA", at positions 524 to 776 of the family's 1533-position model. The record is from RNAcentral.